RNAcentral lists this ribosomal RNA (253 nucleotides) under uncultured bacterium. RNAcentral describes it as "partial 16S ribosomal RNA". It matches the Rfam family "Bacterial small subunit ribosomal RNA", at positions 524 to 776 of the family's 1533-position model. The record is from RNAcentral.
UACGGAGGGGGCUAGCGUUGUUCGGAAUUACUGGGCGUAAAGCGCACGUAGGCGGCUUUGUAAGUUAGAGGUGAAAGCCCGGGGCUCAACUCCGGAAUUGCCUUUAAGACUGCAUCGCUAGAAUUGUGGAGAGGUAAGUGGAAUUCCGAGUGUAGAGGUGAAAUUCGUAGAUAUUCGGAAGAACACCAGUGGCGAAGGCGACUUACUGGACACGUAUUGACGCUGUGGUGCGAAAGCGUGGGGAGCAAACAGG